GAUGAACGCUCGCUACAGGCUUAACACAUGCAAGUCGAGGGGAAACGACAUCGAAAGCUUGCUUUUGAUGGGCGUCGACCGGCGCACGGGUGAGUAACGCGUAUCCAACCUGCCCAUCACUUGGGGUAAACCUUCCGAAGUAAAACCAAAUACCAAAUGAAACCCCUAAAAAAAAUCUAAAAAAGAUAAAAAUUUUAUCGGGGUUGGAUGGGGAUGCGUCUGAUUAGCUUGUUGGCGGGUUAACGGCCCACCAAGGCAACGAUCAGUAGGGGUUCUGAGAGGAAGGUCCCCCACAUUGGAACUGAGACACGGUCCAAACUCCUACGGGAGGCAGCAGUGAGGAAUAUUGGUCAAUGGGCGAGAGCCUGAACCAGCCAAGUAGCGUGCAGGAAGACGGCCCUAUGGGUUGUAAACUGCUUUUAUAAGGGAAUAAAGUGAGAGUCGUGACUCUUUUUGUAUGUACCUUAUGAAUAAGGACCGGCUAAUUCCGUG
This 492-nucleotide ribosomal RNA is filed under the name uncultured bacterium. Its description in RNAcentral is "partial 16S ribosomal RNA". It matches the Rfam family "Bacterial small subunit ribosomal RNA", at positions 28 to 507 of the family's 1533-position model. The record is from RNAcentral.